UACGUAGGGGGCAAGCGUUAUCCGGAUUUACUGGGUGUAAAGGGAGUGUAGACGGUGUGGCAAGUCUGAUGUGAAAGGCAUGGGCUCAACCUGUGGACUGCAUUGGAAACUGUCAUACUUGAGUGCCGGAGGGGUAAGCGGAAUUCCUAGUGUAGCGGUGAAAUGCGUAGAUAUUAGGAGGAACACCAGUGGCGAAGGCGGCUUACUGGACGGUAACUGACGUUGAGGCUCGAAAGCGUGGGGAGCAAACAGG
Molecule: ribosomal RNA, 253 nt
Filed under: Blautia wexlerae DSM 19850
Lineage: Bacteria; Bacillati; Bacillota; Clostridia; Lachnospirales; Lachnospiraceae
Description: partial 16S ribosomal RNA
Rfam family: Bacterial small subunit ribosomal RNA
Source: RNAcentral